Molecule: unclassified non-coding RNA, 1298 nt
Filed under: uncultured fungus
Lineage: Eukaryota; Fungi
Description: sequence contains 18S rRNA gene, ITS1, 5.8S rRNA gene, ITS2, 28S rRNA gene
Source: RNAcentral
CCAUCAUCCUGGGUGGACGCGGCGGUGGCCGGAUCGCCGCGGGACAGCAUAUCGUGUACCCGCCCAACAGCCCGCUGUCGAAUCUGUAUGUUGCGAUGCUCGAUGCUUUCGGAGCGCCCGUGGAACGCUUCGCCGACAGCACCGGGCCGGCGCGCGGCACGCUCGUAGCCGCCUAGUUCUGGGCGCGUCCUGCUACUCCGGCAUAUGUAUCUGCAUCUAAGCGUCUUAAGUCGAAUUCUCGAUUGACCCAAUUCCGCCUAACACCCACAAUUGGCUCAUGUGGAAGUCUGCCGCGCUCGUCGGGAUAUUGUGUUUGCCCCUCUGCGCGGCUCCGGGCCCAGUUAACUAUGACAUCGUGUACGUUCGUGCGCCUCGCGCGGGCGACAACACCUAUCCGAUUCCCGGACGUUUUCUUUCCCACAGCAAUGCCCUCGGGGUCGGACCUGGUGCUCCUCCACCCUGAUGGAUCAGAGGAAAUUCUGUUCGCCGCGGGUAAGGGCGCGGUCCUUGAUCCCGCCGUGUCUUUCGAUGCGAAAUGGAUCUUCUUCUCGUACAUUCCCGAUGCGUCGAGCAGUGGAAUCAACCCACAGCGUGGCCUGGCGACCGGGGGCGCCGAUAUCUACAAGAUCAAUGUCGCCACGCGACAGUUAGUGCGAAUCACGCAGCAAGUCUGGACACCACCCACAGGGUCUGCCAAAUGGUCCACCGAUCCGUUACACGCGAGCGGGCCGAAUACCGUCUACCUCGGCUACGGUCUCUUCAAUCUCGGCGCGUGUCCUCUCCCUGGCGGAAGAGUGAUGUUCGUAUCGAGCCGUGACAUGGCUACCUUCCGAACAAGGGAUACACCACGCCGAAUCUCCGCCUGUACAUCAUGGAUGAAGACGGCCGCAACGUGGAGCCCGUCGGACACCUGAAUAUCGGCAGCGCCUUGCAUCCCACUGUGUUGAUGGACGGGCGUGUCAUGUUCGCCAGUUUUGAGAGUCAAGGUGUGCGGGAUCAGCGAAAUUGGGGCCUGUGGGCGAUUUGGCCCGAUGGCCGGCGCUGGGAACCAUUGAUGAGCGCGAUGGUAGAAGCGGGGGCUUUUCACUUCCAGUCGCAGCUCUCCGACGGCCGCAUCGUGGUAACCGACUACUACAACUUGAAUGACAACGGUUUUGGGACGAUCCUCGCCUUCGACUCACACGCGCAGCCGGGAACCAUUCCGUUCGGAUCUCCCAAGGCCAGCGACGCUUCAAAUCCUUCCAUUAGAGUUGGACUGUGGGGACCGGGAGUUGCGACCACCGGCCAGCCGAGAUACA